Molecule: ribosomal RNA, 119 nt
Organism: Pteropus vampyrus (large flying fox)
Lineage: Eukaryota; Metazoa; Chordata; Mammalia; Chiroptera; Pteropodidae
Source: Ensembl
GUCUACGGCCAUGCCACCCUGAACAAGCCCGAUCCCGUCCGAUCUCGCAAGCUGAGCAGGGUGGGGCCUGGUGAGUACCUGGAUGGGAGACCACCUAGGAAUACCAGGUGCUGUAGGCG